Long non-coding RNA from Onychostoma macrolepis, 474 nucleotides. RefSeq lists it as uncharacterized. NCBI's taxonomy places the organism in Eukaryota, Metazoa, Chordata, Actinopteri, Cypriniformes, Cyprinidae. The record is from RefSeq and is a predicted model, not a curated record. The transcript has 3 exons.
UGUCACACACUUACUCUACGCUGGCUCCCGCCUCUCUGUCUGUCUCUCUCCACUCAUGAGGUUUGGACUGUUAACACCAUGCAGCGCAAUCUAGCACUUGUGCACUGCAGGGCUGAUCACUCCACUUGACACAUAUGAUCUGCGGGCAGCAGCACAUCCAUGCUAGCACAGGUCAUGUAGAAAGAGCUGUCGACGUGAACACGGUCCAUCUCUAAGCAACCCGCGGUAGAUGUUGAGCAGCCCAACUUUGUCUCUGGCCUUGCAGUGCUGUUUGUAUUAUUGUAUGAUUUCAACCUCCAGUAUCAGGAAGAGGUGGCAUGCACCCCUGCGAUUGAGAAAGGAAAAGUGACUUAAAAGAAGGCUGGACGUGUGUACAAGAAGAACAGUACUGCAAACCCACAGGUUUCCUCUCUUCUGAAAAACUUUUAAAAAUAUAUUUCUGAAAAACCUUUCCAUUCUUUAAAAGUAAAUAAG